UGGGGAAUAUUGGACAAUGGGCGAAAGCCUGAUCCAGCCAUGCCGCGUGUGUGAAGAAGGUCUUCGGAUUGUAAAGCACUUUAAGUUGGGAGGAAGGGCAGUAAGCGAAUACCUUGCUGUUUUGACGUUACCGACAGAAUAAGCACCGGCUAACUCCGUGCCAGCAGCCGCGGCAAUACAGAGGGUGCAAGCGUUAAUCGGAAUUACUGGGCGUAAAGCGCGCGUAGGUGGUUCGUUAAGUUGAAUGUGAAAGCCCCGGGCUCAACCUGGGAACUGCAUCCAAAACUGGCGAGCUAGAGUAGGGCAGAGGGUGGUGGAAGUUCCUGUGUAGCGGUGAAAUGCGUAGAUAUAGGAAGGAACACCAGUGGCGAAGGCGACCACCUGUGCUCAUACUGACACUGAGGUGCGAAAGCGUGCGGAGCAAACAGG
RNAcentral lists this ribosomal RNA (429 nucleotides) under Pseudomonadota bacterium. RNAcentral's name for it is "Proteobacteria bacterium partial 16S ribosomal RNA". It matches the Rfam family "Bacterial small subunit ribosomal RNA", at positions 355 to 776 of the family's 1533-position model. The record is from RNAcentral. Lineage: Bacteria; Pseudomonadati; Pseudomonadota.